UACGUAGGGGGCAAGCGUUGUCCGGAUUUAUUGGGCGUAAAGAGCGUGUAGGCGGCCAUACAGGUCAGCUGUGAAAACUCGAGGCUCAACCUCGAGACGUCGGUUGAAACCGUAUGGCUAGAGUCCGGAAGAGGAGAGUGGAAUUCCCGGUGUAGCGGUGAAAUGCGCAGAUAUCGGGAAGAACACCCGUGGCGAAGGCGGCUCUCUGGGACGGUACUGACGCUGAGGCGCGAAAGCUAGGGGAGCAAACAGG
RNAcentral lists this ribosomal RNA (253 nucleotides) under uncultured bacterium. RNAcentral's name for it is "partial 16S ribosomal RNA". It matches the Rfam family "Bacterial small subunit ribosomal RNA", at positions 524 to 776 of the family's 1533-position model. The record is from RNAcentral.